RNAcentral lists this transfer RNA (28 nucleotides) under Ursus arctos (brown bear). Its description in RNAcentral is "partial tRNA-Ile". The record is from RNAcentral. Lineage: Eukaryota; Metazoa; Chordata; Mammalia; Carnivora; Ursidae.
AAGAAAUAUGUCUGACAAAAGAAUUACU